Molecule: non-coding RNA, 84 nt
Organism: Callorhinchus milii (elephant shark)
Lineage: Eukaryota; Metazoa; Chordata; Chondrichthyes; Chimaeriformes; Callorhinchidae
Source: the annotation of a RefSeq genome assembly
GUUAGGAUGGCCGAGUGGUCUAAGGCGCCAGACUCAGGUUCUGGUCCCUUUCUAGGGGUGUGGGUUCGAAUCCCAUUUCUGACA